Molecule: ribosomal RNA, 253 nt
Filed under: uncultured bacterium
Lineage: Bacteria
Description: partial 16S ribosomal RNA
Rfam family: Bacterial small subunit ribosomal RNA
Source: RNAcentral
UACGUAGGGGGCAAGCGUUGUCCGGAAUUAUUGGGCGUAAAGAGCGCGUAGGCGGUCCGAUAAGUCGGCUGUGAAAGUCAGGGGCUCAACCCUUGAAAGCCGGCCGAUACUGUCGGACUAGAGUCCGGAAGAGGCAAGUGGAAUUCCCGGUGUAGCGGUGAAAUGCGCAGAUAUCGGGAGGAACACCAAUGGCGAAGGCAGCUUGCUGGGACGGUACUGACACUGAGGCGCGGCAGCGUGGGGAGCAAACAGG